This 492-nucleotide long non-coding RNA is filed under the name Lepidothrix coronata (blue-crowned manakin). RNAcentral describes it as "lncRNA (ENSLCOG00000005141.1)". Lineage: Eukaryota; Metazoa; Chordata; Aves; Passeriformes; Pipridae. The record is from RNAcentral.
UGUUUUGCUCUUCUUGUGUCCAAAACCUUCGGUGCCUCCUGGCUGUGGAGGGAAACUUUUCCUCCUCAAUUAAAUCACCGAGAUUGUGAGCGAAGGCAAUGGGCUCAGAAAGGAUUUGUUUUCUUGGGAAUUGAGAUCAUGGCAAGCAGGAAAAGAGCUCAAGCAGGUAACACAACAAAUCCUGGGGCUCACACCAGAUUUCAAGGAUAAUAAUGAAGAAACUAAAGAUAUUUUCAAGGAUAAUGAAGAAACCACAGACAUUUUCAAGCUUCACACCCUUAAUUUCGAUGUUUUGGCACCCAGGAGCACAGAAAACAGGGCAUUCCUGAGCAGAAUUAAUUGCACUUAAAAGGAAAUGUGUGUGCACUGGAUAAGCUUCUCUAUCAUGGGGGACAGAAAAUCCAAAAACGGAUUUCCAGGUAAGAUUUCUUAUUUUUUCUAACAUUUGUUUUAUGAAACUAGCGAAUAGUUUUAUAAUUUAUAAAAGUUUUA